GGCAGUGUGGCUCAGUGGAAAGAGCCCGGGCUUGGGAGUCAGAGAUCAUGGGUUCAAAUCCUGGCUCUGCCA
Molecule: transfer RNA, 72 nt
Filed under: Ornithorhynchus anatinus (platypus)
Lineage: Eukaryota; Metazoa; Chordata; Mammalia; Monotremata; Ornithorhynchidae
Rfam family: tRNA
About the family: Transfer RNA (tRNA) molecules are approximately 80 nucleotides in length. Their secondary structure includes four short double-helical elements and three loops (D, anti-codon, and T loops). Further hydrogen bonds mediate the characteristic L-shaped molecular structure. tRNAs have two regions of fundamental functional importance: the anti-codon, which is responsible for specific mRNA codon recognition, and the 3' end, to which the tRNAs corresponding amino acid is attached (by aminoacyl-tRNA synthetases). tRNAs cope with the degeneracy of the genetic code in two manners: having more than one tRNA (with a specific anti-codon) for a particular amino acid; and 'wobble' base-pairing, i.e. permitting non-standard base-pairing at the 3rd anti-codon position.
Source: Rfam by way of RNAcentral